AGCUAGUUGGUAAAGUAACGGUCUACCAAGGCGAUGAUCGGUAGCUGGUCUGAGAGGAUGACCAGCCACACUGGGACUGAGAUACGGCCCAGACUCCUACGGGAGGCAGCAGCAAGGAGUAUUGCGCAAUGGGCGAAAGCCUGACGCAGCGACGCCGCGUGGAGGAUGAAGACCUUCGGGUUGUAAACUCCUUUUCUUGGGGAGGAAUAAUGACAGUACCCGAGGAAUAAGCCACGGCAAACUACGUGCCAGCAGCUGCGGUAAAACGUAGGUGGCGAGCGUUAUCCGGAUUUACUGGGCGUAAAGAGGGCGCAGGUGGUUUUUCAAGUCAAAUGUAAAAUCUCUCGGCUUAACUGAGAGAAGCCAUUUGAUACUGUUAAACUAGAGGACAACAGAGGAAGGCGGAAUUCCCGGUGUAGUGGUGAAAUACGUAGAUAUCGGGAGGAACACCAGUGGCGAAGGCGGCCUUCUGGGUUGUUUCUGACGCUUAAGCCCGAAAGCGUGGGGAGCAAACAGGAUCAGAUACCCUGGUAGUCCACGCCGUAAACGAUGGACACUAGGUAUGGGGAGUAUCGACCCUCUCCGUGCCGAAGCUAACGCGUUAAGUGUCCCGUCUGAGGAGUACGGCCGCAAGGCUAAAACUCAAAGGAAUUGACGGGGGCCCGCACAAGCAGCGGAGCGUGUGGUUUAAUUCGAUGCAAAGCGAAGAACCUUACCAAGGCUUGACAUGACGGAAGUAGGAACCUGAAAGGGGGACGACCUGUUAAAUCAGGAGCUGCCACAGGUGCUGCAUGGCUGUCGUCAGCUCGUGCCGUGAGGUGUAUGGUUAAGUCCUGCAACGAGCGCAACCCCUAUUGCCAGUUGUAUUCUCUGGCGAGACUGCCUCGCAUAACGAGGAGGAAGGUGGGGAUGACGUCAAGUCAGCACGGCCUUUAUGCCUUGGGCGACACACACGCCACAAUGGGUGGUACAAUUGGUUGCAAAAGGGCGACCUGGAGCUAAUCCCUAAAACCACCCUCAGUUCAGAUUGUAGGCUGCAACCCGCCUGCAUGAAGCUGGAGUUGCUAGUAACCGCAGGUCAGCAUACUGCGGUGAAUACGUUCUCGGGCCUUGUACACACCGCCCGUCACGUCAUGGAAGUCGGCAACACUCGAAGUCGAUGGGCCAACCCGCAAGGGAGGCAGUCGCCGAAGGUGAGGCUGAUAACUGGGACGAAGUCGUAACAAGGUAGCCGUAGUGGAAGCUGCGGCUG
RNAcentral lists this ribosomal RNA (1252 nucleotides) under metagenome. RNAcentral's name for it is "bacterial SSU rRNA". It matches the Rfam family "Bacterial small subunit ribosomal RNA", at positions 243 to 1520 of the family's 1533-position model. The record is from RNAcentral.